GCUCCCUUCGUCUAGAGGCCCAGGACAUUGCCCUCUCAAGGCAAGUACACGAGUUCGAAUCUCGUAGGGAGCGCCA
Molecule: transfer RNA, 76 nt
Filed under: Pseudomonadota bacterium
Lineage: Bacteria; Pseudomonadati; Pseudomonadota
Also listed under: 2 other names
Description: tRNA-Glu
Rfam family: tRNA
About the family: Transfer RNA (tRNA) molecules are approximately 80 nucleotides in length. Their secondary structure includes four short double-helical elements and three loops (D, anti-codon, and T loops).
Source: RNAcentral